UUCAUCAGCCGGGUUAUCGCUUUCCGCUUGCGGGAGGAGGAAAGUCCGGACAGCACAGGGCAGCACACCGGUUAACAGCCGGUCCUUGCAGCAAUGCGGGGGAGAAAGUGCCACAGAAAAUAACCGCCCCGCUUCGGUGGGGUAAGGGUGAAAACGUGAGGUAAGAGCUCACGGGUUCGUGCAGCAAUGCAUAAACCGGGUAAACCUUGUGUGCUGUAAUGCCACGUAUACCGGCGCCUGAGGGCGGCUCGUCCGAUGCCGGAGGGUAGGCAGCAACCGCCCCCGCAGCUUGCGGGGGCAAGAUCCCCGCAGUAAUGCGGGGGCCAGAUAAAUGAUAACCACCUGCCUUCGGCAGGAACAGAAUCCGGCUUACAGGCUGAUGUUCUUU
This 388-nucleotide RNase P RNA is filed under the name Ferruginibacter sp. RNAcentral's name for it is "RNase P RNA component class A". It matches the Rfam family "Bacterial RNase P class A". Rfam says of the family: Ribonuclease P (RNase P) is a ubiquitous endoribonuclease, found in archaea, bacteria and eukarya as well as chloroplasts and mitochondria. Its best characterised activity is the generation of mature 5'-ends of tRNAs by cleaving the 5'-leader elements of precursor-tRNAs. The record is from RNAcentral. Lineage: Bacteria; Pseudomonadati; Bacteroidota; Chitinophagia; Chitinophagales; Chitinophagaceae. RNAcentral also lists the same sequence under 1 other name.